Molecule: small nucleolar RNA, 79 nt
Organism: Rana temporaria (common frog)
Lineage: Eukaryota; Metazoa; Chordata; Amphibia; Anura; Ranidae
Product: small nucleolar RNA SNORD71
Exons: 1
Source: RefSeq, a predicted model, not a curated record
CGGGAUUGUUGAAUGAUGAUUACUGAGUGAUCCAUCGGCUGACUCGCUGUGCUGAUCUUCAAUAAACUGACAACACCCG